AGCAGUAUGGUUUAGUGGAUAAAGCCAUGGUCUUAAGGUCAAAUAGACCUGGGUUCAAAUCCCAGCUCUGCCA
This 73-nucleotide transfer RNA is filed under the name Loxodonta africana (African savanna elephant). It matches the Rfam family "tRNA". From Rfam's summary of the family: Transfer RNA (tRNA) molecules are approximately 80 nucleotides in length. Their secondary structure includes four short double-helical elements and three loops (D, anti-codon, and T loops). Lineage: Eukaryota; Metazoa; Chordata; Mammalia; Proboscidea; Elephantidae. The record is from Rfam by way of RNAcentral.